GCUUGCUUCAUCAGCACACAUACAACUAAAAUGGGAAUGAUACAGAGAAGAUUAGCAUGGCCUCUGUGCAAGGAUAACAACCAAAUUCAUAAAAAAUAAAAUCUCGCU
RNAcentral lists this small nuclear RNA (108 nucleotides) under Sciurus vulgaris (Eurasian red squirrel). Lineage: Eukaryota; Metazoa; Chordata; Mammalia; Rodentia; Sciuridae. The record is from RNAcentral.